GCCAAAAUAUCUCAGUUGGGAGAGUGUUAGACUGAACAUCUAAAGGUCUGUGGUUCAAUCCCGGGUUUCGGCA
This 73-nucleotide transfer RNA is filed under the name Danionella translucida. It matches the Rfam family "tRNA". Rfam says of the family: Transfer RNA (tRNA) molecules are approximately 80 nucleotides in length. Their secondary structure includes four short double-helical elements and three loops (D, anti-codon, and T loops). Further hydrogen bonds mediate the characteristic L-shaped molecular structure. tRNAs have two regions of fundamental functional importance: the anti-codon, which is responsible for specific mRNA codon recognition, and the 3' end, to which the tRNAs corresponding amino acid is attached (by aminoacyl-tRNA synthetases). tRNAs cope with the degeneracy of the genetic code in two manners: having more than one tRNA (with a specific anti-codon) for a particular amino acid; and 'wobble' base-pairing, i.e. permitting non-standard base-pairing at the 3rd anti-codon position. Lineage: Eukaryota; Metazoa; Chordata; Actinopteri; Cypriniformes; Danionidae. RNAcentral also lists the same sequence under 1 other name. The record is from Rfam by way of RNAcentral.